GCGCCCGUAGCUCAAUGGAUAGAGCGCUUGGCUUCGAACCAAGAGGUUGCGGGUUCAACUCCUGCCGGGCGUA
Molecule: transfer RNA, 73 nt
Filed under: Chloroflexota bacterium
Lineage: Bacteria; Bacillati; Chloroflexota
Description: Chloroflexi bacterium tRNA-Arg
Rfam family: tRNA
About the family: Transfer RNA (tRNA) molecules are approximately 80 nucleotides in length. Their secondary structure includes four short double-helical elements and three loops (D, anti-codon, and T loops).
Source: RNAcentral